AGAACCUCCCGGGCCAGCUCCGAGUCCUGUCGGUGGGGGCAGCAGGAUGCUGGUGGAAGCAGAGGGGGCCGGCCGGGUGCCUCCGCAGCUCGGCUGGCAGGGCCUGGCGGGGCGUGUACGGCUGCUAGUGCAAGCCCCCCCGCCCCACCCCUCCCCAUGCAGCCCUGGCAGUGCCUCCGGCGCUUUGCCCUGGCCUGGUGGGAGAGGACAGCGGAGGGCAGCUCCCGAUCUCCCAGGGAGGAGGCUGGACCGAGGGACCCCGGGGGCCGAGGGGAGCCAGGGCUCCAGCGUGCAGCGGGAGGGAAGCCUCCAGGACUCUGUUCCCUCUGUUUAAAGUCUCCAGAUCCAGAGCGGAGCAGCCCCCCCAUGCUGUCUGCGGACGAUGCCGAGUACCCGCGGGAGUACCGGACCCUGGGGGGCGGGGGCAGCGGGGGCAGCGGGGGCCGGCGCUUCUCCAACGUGGGGCUGGUGCACACGUCCGAGCGGCGGCACACGGUGAUCGCCGCCCAGAGCCUGGAGGCGCUCAGCGGGCUCCAGAAGGCCGAUGCCGACCGCAAGCGCGAUGCCUUCAUGGACCACCUGAAGAGCAAGUACCCCCAGCACGCCCUAGCCCUGCGGGGUCAGCAAGACAGGAUGCGGGAGCAGGUUGGCGGCUGGACCGUGGACCCCGUGUGCCUCCUCAGCUCCCUCUGCUCCCACCUCCAUGGCGACUCCGCCCCCUCCGGGGCUGGCCAGCCGGCCCAGCAGCCAAACUACUGGAGUUUCAAGACCCGCAGCUCGCGCCACACUCAGGGAGCCCAGCCUGGCCUGGCAGACCAGGCGGCCAAGCUGUCAUACGCCUCGGCUGAGUCACUGGAGACCAUGUCGGAGGCUGAGCUGCCCCUGGGCUUCAGUAGGAUGAACCGCUUCCGACAGAGCCUGCCCCUCUCCCGCUCAGCCAGCCAGACCAAGCUGCGCUCGCCAGGGGUGCUGUUCCUGCAGUUCGGGGAGGAGACUCGGCGCGUGCACAUCACGCACGAGGUCAGCAGCCUGGACACGCUGCACGCACUCAUCGCUCACAUGUUCCCGCAGAAGCUCACCAUGGGCAUGCUUAAGUCGCCCAACACCGCCAUCCUCAUCAAAGACGAGGCUCGCAACGUCUUCUACGAGCUGGAGGACGUCCGGGACAUCCAGGACCGCAGUAUUAUCAAGAUCUAUAGGAAGGAGCCACUCUACGCUGCUUUCCCUGGCUCACACCUCACCAACGGGGACCUCCGGAGAGAGAUGGUGUAUGCGUCGCGGGAGUCGUCGCCCACGCGGCGUCUCAACAACCUGUCGCCGGCGCCGCACCUGGCAUCCGGCUCGCCGCCACCCGGGCUCCCGUCCGGGCUGCCGUCGGGCUCGCCGUCGCGCUCGCGCCUCUCGUACGCCGGGGGGCGCCCGCCCUCCUACGCCGGCAGCCCGGUGCACCACGCGGCGGAGCGGCUGGGGGGCGCCCCCGCCGCCCCGGGCGUCAGCCCGAGCCCCAGCGCCAUCCUCGAGCGGCGCGACGUGAAGCCGGACGAGGACCUUGCGGGCAAGGCGGGCGGCAUGGUGCUGGUGAAGGGCGAGGGCCUCUACGCCGACCCCUACGGCCUGCUCCAUGAGGGCCGCCUGAGCCUGGCCGCGGCCGCCGGCGAUCCGUUCGCCUACCCUGGCGCGGGCGGCCUGUACAAGCGCGGCUCCGUACGCUCGCUCAGCACCUACUCGGCCGCCGCGCUGCAGUCGGACCUGGAGGAUUCGCUGUACAAGGCGGCGGGUGGCGGCCCGCUCUACGGCGACAGCUAUGGCUUCCGCCUGCCGCCCUCGUCGCCCCAGAAGCUGGCGGAUGUGGCGGCGCCCCCCGGGGGCCCCCAGCCGCCGCACAGCCCCUACUCGGGGCCGCCUAGCCGCGGCUCGCCGGUGCGCCAGUCCUUCCGCAAAGACUCGGGCUCCUCGUCGGUCUUCGCCGAGAGCCCCGGAGGCAAGACCCGCAGCACCGGGGGCUCUUCGACGGCCGGAGCACCCCCUCCUGAGCUCUUCCCCGGGCCUGGGGAGCGCCCGCUCGUUGGGUUCGGGCCGCCUGUGCCAGCCAAGGAUACGGAGACUAGAGAGCGCAUGGAGGCUAUGGAGAAGCAAAUUGCCAGCCUCACAGGUCUGGUGCAGAGUGCCCUGCUUCGAGGGUCAGAGCCUGAGACCCCCAGUGAGAAGAUUGAAGGCUCCAAUGGAGCAGCCACGCCCUCAGCACCCUGCGGGUCAGGCAGCCGGAGCAGUGGGGCCACCCCAGUGUCCGGCCCUCCCCCGCCCUCGGCCAGCAGCACCCCUGCGGGGCAGCCCACUGCCAUCAACCGUUUGCAGAUGCAGCUGCAUCUGCGUGGCCUGCAGAACAGCACCAAUGACCUGCGCAGCCAGCUUCAGCAACUGCGGAAGCUCCAGCUCCAGAACCUGGAGUCGCUGCGCGCGCUGCUGAAGGGCACGGAGGCGGAGCUGAGCAUGCGCGUGUCGGAGGCGGCGCGGCGGCAAGAGGACCCGCUGCAGCGGCAGCGCACCCUGGUGGAGGAGGAGCGGCUGCGCUACCUCAACGACGAGGAGCUCAUUACCCAGCAGCUCAAUGACCUGGAGAAGUCGGUGGAGAAGAUCCAGAGGGACGUGUCCCACAACCACCGACUGGUGCCCGGACCUGAACUGGAAGAGAAGGCGCUGGUGCUGAAGCAGCUUGGGGAGACGCUGACUGAGCUCAAGGCUCACUUCCCAGGCCUGCAGAGCAAGAUGCGGGUAGUGCUGCGUGUGGAGGUGGAGGCGGUGAAGUUCCUGAAGGAGGAGCCACAGCGUCUGGAUGGGCUACUCAAGCGCUGCCGUGGGGUCACAGACACAUUGGCUCAGAUCCGAAGGCAAGUGGAUGAAGGUGUUUGGCCACCCCCCAGCAACCUCCUGAAUCAGUCCCCCAAGAAGGUGACGGCUGAGAGUGACUUCAACAAGAGCUUGGACUUCGAAAUGCCACCCCCCAGCCCUCCACUGAACCUCCACGAGCUGAGUGGGCCAGCGGAGGGAGCCCCUGCGACGCCCAAGGCGGGCAACCCCACCAAAGGCCUGGACGCUCCUGGCAAGAGAAGUGUGGACAAGGCUGUGUCUGUUGAGGCUGCUGAGCGGGACUGGGAGGAGAAGCGGGCAGCCCUGACCCAGUACAGCGCCAAGGAUAUCAACCGGCUGCUGGAGGAGACACAGGCGGAGCUCCUGAAGGCCAUCCCCGACCUGGACUGUGCGAGCAAGGCCCACCCGGGCCCAGCCCCCACCCCUGACCACAAGCCCCCCAAGAUCCCCCACGGCCAGAAGACAGCCCCGCGAACGGAGCCCAGUGGGAGGAGAGGCUCAGAUGAGCUGACGGUGCCCCGAUACCGCACGGAGAAGCCGUCCAAGUCUCCCCCACCGCCCCCUCCCCGCCGGAGCUUCCCCUCCUCCCACGGCCUGACCACCACGCGCACCGGAGAGGUCGUGGUCACCAGCAAGAAGGACUCGGCCUUCAUCAAGAAGGCAGAGUCCGAGGAGCUGGAGGUGCAGAAGCCCCAGGUGAAGCUGCGCCGGACCGUGUCCGAGGUGGCCCGCCCGGCCUCCACACCCCCCAUCAUGGCCUCUGCCAUCAAGGACGAGGACGACGAGGACCGUAUCAUCGCAGAGCUGGAGGUGUUUGAGAGAAGCUCAGUGUCUCCCCUCCCCCCUACGCCCCGCCGCCAGCCGAUCCCCACCUUGCUGUCCCCCCAGGACCUGGGGCCCCCUGGGGGCUCAGCCCCGGGCCCCACAUGGAAGGUAACGGGCUGCCCCCCACCUCUCACGGCGCUCUCUCUGCCUGUGCCUCCACGCUGCCUCUCCUCACUUCUCACGCUAACCUGCUAGAACACCAGUCACAUCCCUGGGUCCUGGCACUGCCACAGCCUCACCCCUGUGGACUGACUCACCCCCUCCCCCGCUCCAAGGACCGGCGCAGAACCCUCCCUUCCCUCUCCAAGACGCCAGCAGCCUGGUAUUUGGUGGCCCCUUGGGUCUGCGUUUCCUUACAGGCUUGAUUCCGUGCCCGGCCCGUGGUGGCUUGGGUAUUUUGUUUGGAUCUGUAGCCAGAGUUUAGGUCUGGCCCGAAGCCUGGGUUUUGUCUUGGUCCAAGUUUGGAUCUCGCUCCGUACAUGAUUCAAAAUCUGACUUCGUUCUGAGCCCUCGCCUAGCCCCUGAGCCCAUAGGCCCUACUCUGCUGCCCGUGCCAGGUGGGGGCGCUCCCACUGGAAUCCACGCCUUGCCCUGGGGGCCAGGACUCCCAGGAGAAAGGCCCACUUCCAGCCUCCCUCCUUCCCGUGGCCCCAUCUGGUCGGAGAGCUUGGGAUGGAAAAAAUCCCCUGCCCUUCCUUGGCUGCUGGUUCUGUCUUUUGGCAUUGGGAAGUUCUUCCUUCUCUCUAACUGCAGUCCUUGCUGCUGUCCUGCUGCACUUACUUCCUUUUUAUUCUGUCUUGGGAGUUCGAGGGUGACUUGCUGUCUGCACCCCAGGGGACUGUGCUUGGGGAGGGGGAGCUGGGGGUCUGCACCCCAGGGGACUGUGCUUGGGGGGUGGCGGUGGUCCGGGACUCUCUCCCUCCUCCCAGUCAGGUUGGAGUAGGGGGGCCUUGUCUCUGGGGAGGGGAGCCUCCCGUGCACACACGUGCCCACCUGCCUCAUCUGGUCCCAUUGGCCCACAGUGGGUUCUGUGCUGGCCGCCGCCUGACUUCUAGCCUAGCUUGAGGCCCAGUGGUGCUUUGGCUCUGGAUCCAGGGGAGCAGAUGGGCACCAAAUGGGUGGACAGUGCUGUCCGCCGGGCAGAGGGUGGCCACAGAGCUCCAAGGAGCCAUCUGGGCUUGAGUAGUGUGGCGGGGCUGCCCUUGGCUGGCUGUGCCCUCAGCACCUUGGCCUGCUGCACCCAGCCACUGCCCCCUUCUGGCCCUGGAAGCCAGUCCUGAAGGGGUCCAGUGGGAAAGCUCCUCCGCUGGCCCUUCGGGCUGGCGGAGCCUCCGCAUCCUGAGGCGCCAUCAGGCAGUGGAACCGGGCGGGCAUGGGCCGCCCUCUCUGCCUUCUCAGUCUGCACAUCCCACCUCCAGGCUGCCACAGGCCCCAGGUCCUUCUGCGUCCCCCGGAUCAUCUUGACUGAGUGCGCCCCCAACCCGCCCUCCCCACCAGAGUCCAGGCUUGAGGAGCCAGGUCCCAGGACAGCCCCCACCCCACGACCCCGGACCCUGCCUGGCAGAAGGAGGGGCUGGGAUUGUCCACGGACCCUGCCAGGGGUAGUGGCCACGGCUUCCCAGCCCAGGAACAGCUUGAUGCCAGAGCAGGAAGGGGCGGCUCUGCAAAGACUGGAGGCCACGGGCUGCAGCCCAGAAAAGGGAGGAGCUGGGGUCCCCUGUGCUCUGGGACUUGCUCCAGCCAGGACCCGGGAGCCCCCCACUGCUGAGACCCCCCCAGAGGAGAUGCUUAAGGACUCUGGACACGAUGCCCAGCCCUGCAGAGGGGAGCACCCGGGUCAGUGUAAUGCUGGCCUGGGCCACACGGGGCACGGUGCCACCACCCAGCGGAUGGACAGCCUGGAGGAGACACUUCGGGAGCUGGAAGCCACCCUGAACCAGUUGGGCACAGACCCUGCCACAGGGCCCGCUGGCAGCCCCCCACCCCCGGCCCCUGGUCCCCAGAGCGGCGGAGGCAGUGUGCCACCCAUGAAGGUGGUGACUCCAGGGGCUUCGCGGCUGAAGGCGGCCCAGGGCCAGGCCAGCAGCCCUGACAAAGGCAAGCACGGCAAGCAGAGGGCUGAGUACAUGAGGAUCCAGGCCCAGCAGCAGGCCACUAAACCAUCUAAAGAGAUGAGCGGGUCAAACGAGACCUCAAGCCCAGUCUCAGAAAAGCCCUCGGCUUCCAGAACCUCCAUCCCCGUAUUGACUUCCUUUGGGGCGAGGAAUUCUUCCAUCUCCUUCUAGAAGCUUCCUUAUACCCCCACCCCAGCCUGCCACCCCCAUCGCUGCCAUUUCUCUCUCUCCUCUUCCCUUCCUUCCUACCCCAUCCUCCAGACCCUCCAAGGGGUUUACGGCAGAUGUGGCCCUGCUCAGCUCUCUCGGCCCAUUCCCUGUUGGUGUUUUCGGUUUUUUAAAUGACUACUUUUAAUUAUCUUUUUUUUUUUUUUUUUUUUUUUUUUGGUCUUUUUCUAGGGCCGCACCCGAGACAUAUGGAGGUUCCCAGGCUCGGAGUCUAAUCGGAGCUGCAGCCGCUGGCCUACACCAGAGCCACAGCAAUGCCAGAUCCGAGCCUUGUCUGCAACCUACACCACAGCUCACGGCAACGCCGGAUCCUUAACCCACUGAGCGAGGCCAGGGAUCGAACCCGAAACCUCAUGGUUCCUACUUGGAUUCGUUAACCACUGCGCCAUGACGGGAACUCCCAUCUUUUUUUUUUUUUUUUUUUUUUUAAUAAUUAAAAAAACCCAAGCAAACCAGUAAAAUGAGAAACCCACACACCCCCACCUUCCCUCGACUUCCUGUUCAAAAUGGCGCACUUCCUGUCAUCCCCCCUCUUCCUCUUCCCCGCGCCGCUCCCAAGCCCACCCUGACGUUCCUCCCCUCCCUUCUCGCCUUUCCCCCAACCUUCCCAAGCGCACUCCAAACAAACUCUGAGCCACGGAGACUUGGAGCGACAACGACGACGACGACGAGGCGUUCCCUCUCCCCUUCCUCGGAAACCUUCCUGGAGGCAAACCCGGACAUUGGACCGACCCCAGUAUCAGGCUGGCAGGUGGGACGUGGGGAGACUCUGGCCCUGGAGGCGCCCCUCCUGUCCACCCUGGGGACGUGACUGAACGCCGAGGCUUCUCUGCUCCCACCGGCUCCUGCCCUGGUGGGCCCGGGAGUCAAGAGGACGGGCCGCAGAGGGAGGCAGGAGGUGGAGGGGCCUCGCUCGGGGUGGCGUGAGGCCGUCGAAUCUGUGCGUCCCCGUCCCCGGAAAGGAGCUGGCUUCCCGGAGCCGCCUUCCUGUGGUGAGGAGCUGCCCGGCUUGUGCCCAUCAGAGGGAGGGGCCCCUCGGGACUGCUGGUUGUGGACGCGGGCGUUGAGCAGACAGCCGGGCACUGGGGACACUGCCUUGGGAGAGGGCGGCCCCUCUGGAGGGGUAUUGUUACUUUUAGUUUCCUAAUUUAGCACUUUAAAUGGCAUUAACUUAUUUAAUGGGGGUGGGGUGGGCAAGAACGAAGGGCCUAGCAAAUGAGCCUUUGAGGCCUGGGGGGCGGGAAGGGUCUGGUCGGGAGGGAAGUUGGGGGAAUAAAUGGGGGGCAGUGAGGACACAGCUCUGACCCCCCAGGUGGGGGGGACUUGACCUUCAGUCAUCCUUUUUGAGACCUGAGGGUUUUCAGGGAAGGAGUGAGAUGCAUUUUGUAAAUGAGGAGCUGGUGACCCUGGGUGAGAUCCCUGAGGGUCCCUGAGACCUGACCGACCAGCCACAGCGCCCCCAACCUGUGGGCGCCUGCCUUGCAGUGGCUGCGGCCAGUGAGGCUUUGGGCCCAGGUCCUGAGAAGAGGAGGGAGAACCAAUUUUGAGUCUUGGGGCCCGGGCCGCCCCCAGGGCACAGCGAGCAGCCAGCAGGGAGAUGAUGUGUGUGGGGGAGGAGGAGGGUGGAGUGAGGUCCCCAGGGAGCAGGAUUCCUAUUUGGAGCACAAAGUGGGAUAAGCACAGGAGACGGGGGUUGGGAUUAGUCACCCCCCCCUCCCCUCACCGAGGAAGCACAGAAAGAAGGAGCCAUUGAAGGGGCAGAACCUCCUAGACCCUGCGGCCUGGUGCUUGAGAGCCAGGGGGAGCUAUUGAGGGUUGGGGAGGGAGGGGGAGCCGGGUUGUGUUUCUUCAUUUCUUUCUUUUUUGUUGUUGUUUUUGUUGGUUCAUCCUUGUUUUCUAGCUUUGGAUCAUUUUUGUACAAAGGCAAGCAAGCCUUUUUGAAAAAUAACAAAAGAGGAAAAAAAAAAAUCCCUCCGGAAAAAAAAAAAACCCUGAAAAAUAGAAAAAAAAAAAAGGACCUCAUAAAUGAUGCAAUUACUUUUAAUUGCAGGCAACUCUUUACAUUUAAGUGAAGUGUCUUAACAUUUUAUAUUGUUUUAAAAAUAUAUUUACAUAUUAUAUAUAUAUAAUAUACGUAAUAUAAAUAUAUAUAAAUAUUUAAAAAAGAAAAAAAAAAAGGAAACCACGGCGCUCUCUCCCUGGCCGCUGUUUUGGCGGGGGAGGGGGCUGGAGGGUGGGCACAUCAGCCUGGCUUCUGUGGUCCAGUGAAACGGUUUGGUUCGAUUUGGCUGUACAGAGACCCCUUGACUUGGGAGGGGAGGGGGGAGUGGUGCCCCCUCCUCCCUCCGCUCCAUUACUCUUUGCUUGCGACUUUUCCCUUGCCCCCCCCCACCGCCCACCCUCAGCCCGGUGCCCUGAACGUGUGCCCCAUCGUCACUGUCCUGAGUUGAAUGUCCCUUUGUGGGGGGAGGGGGAGGGGCACGUCCAUCCGCAAGAGGACACUUGGAGGGAGCCCUGGGCCCCACCCCACCUGCUCACCUGGAGCCCAGUGGAAUUUGCAUCUUCCUUUCAGUUUGGUGCCUGCACAUUUAUGGGCUUCGAGGAGUUGUGCACAGCCUCUGUGUGUGUGUGUGUGUGUGUGUGUGUGUGCGCGCACGCGCAUGUCCAUUGCACAAGUCCACUUACUCGUGUGUGUGGAGGGAAGGAAGCAUGAGUGUGCACCAGCAUGACGUGCCACACGUGUGUGCAGGGAGG
RNA transcript from Sus scrofa (pig), 8789 nucleotides. It is a transcript of the gene named SRC kinase signaling inhibitor 1, with no coding region annotated. Lineage: Eukaryota; Metazoa; Chordata; Mammalia; Artiodactyla; Suidae. The record is from RefSeq and is a predicted model, not a curated record.